CUUGCCUCCUCUCCUGAUCCCAUCCUAUACUCUGCUUUGCUGUGCAGGCAAUGCUGGGAAUAUUUGCACCAAUAUAGAGUAUUCCUUUUAGAUAUCUUCAAUUUAAUACCAAUGGGGAGAUAUUCACAGGGAUACAGAAAAAUAUUCACUUCUUUCCUGGAAAACAGAACCUCAGAGGUAAAGCUGAACAGAGCAGGUGAGUUAAUUUGAAUAAUUAAAGCACAUGAAGGGUUACUGUGAAGAGGACUAGGUCCAGCUGCUUUCUCUCACACUUGUUAAAAGCUGGAACAGGCUGUAGAUAGAGCAUGGAGCCACCAAAUAGAGGAAACCUUGGCUUGAGAUGAGGUCUGAAAAUUCAUCCUCUGAAAAUGAAAUGAAAAUGAGCCUCCUAUUCUGUGUGUAUAAACACUCAAUAAAAAAGUGGAGUACUUUUGCUAAUGAAAUAUUUCAAAGCCUUCAGCAAAAGACCAAGGUUGCCGUAUACAAAGUGACCGGAGCAGAGUGACAUGAGACAGAAUGACCCACGAUCUCUGAGUAGGAAGGCAACUUAAAUGGAUGAAGAUAAAAUGAAUGGAUCCAUGACACUCAAUGGGCAUUCUUACGAUCCUUAAAUAUGAUACAUGGCGAUAAUUUUACAAGCCAAGAUAGCAAAAGCGGAGCUGACAUUUAAUUGUAUGUUUAGUCCAUACUUGAGUAAAGCAGCAAUUGAAAUAAGAAGGAGCAUUAUACUAACCACCAUGGUGCUAAAAUUGCUAAAAAAAAAAGUUCACAAAGCAGUGUCAUGUCAACACUUCUAAUUUUAAUCACAGCUCUAAAUAGUUAAGAGCACACCCAGAAAAUGAGAGUGUCUGAGUCUGGUGUUUUUUGUGGUUAACAUCUCUCUUUAGAUAACUUUAGAUAGCACAGGUGGUUUUUCUUCUUAGGGGUGAAAUUCUAAAUAUGGCAUGUACUUUCCAGAGGCUGUGGUUUGAAAGGAGAGUAAUGAUGGAUCCUUGUGUAAUUACAAGUAUGAUGACG
Molecule: long non-coding RNA, 1017 nt
Filed under: Equus caballus (horse)
Lineage: Eukaryota; Metazoa; Chordata; Mammalia; Perissodactyla; Equidae
Description: lncRNA (ENSECAG00000060347.1)
Source: RNAcentral